CGCGCUGCGCUUCCGGGUCCUCUCUAGGAAGAGGGGAGGACUUUGCAUCUCGGUUUCCGAAUCGCUGGACCGGGCACCUUGGCCUUAAGUUUUCAAGCCUCCAGAAACCAAGGGCUGGCACAGCACAAUGGCAGAGCACACAGAAGGGAGCCCAGCCACCUACUACUGGGGGCACACAGCUCGACAAGAUGACAGCCCGAAUAACCUCCAGGCCCCAAACAAUGAUUCAUUCUCUACAUUGCUUGAUUUAGCUGCAGAUGCCAUUAUGCUCUGUCUCCCUACUUGCUUGCAUGUCCUUACAACAAAUCUCUGUCUAACUUUGUUCCUUGCCCCCUGGAAAAGCUCAAUGUAAUAACUAAUGUGAAAUCAUGUAUACUACUUCAAAAUGCGUGGCUGGGCACAGUGUAAUCCCAGCCUCUAAUCUCAGCACUUUGGAAGGCUGAAGAGGGAGGAUUGCUUGAGGUCAGGAGUUCAAAACAAGCUUGGCCAAAAUUAUGACAGCUUGUCUCUACCAAAAAAAAA
This is a long non-coding RNA of Sapajus apella (tufted capuchin), 522 nucleotides long. RefSeq lists it as uncharacterized. NCBI's taxonomy places the organism in Eukaryota, Metazoa, Chordata, Mammalia, Primates, Cebidae. The transcript is spliced from 2 exons. The record is from RefSeq and is a predicted model, not a curated record.